AUGAUGAAGCAGAAGAUAACAAGGCAGUGUUCAUUCAGCAUACAAAGAAAGUUGGAAUUUGCCAGAAAGGGACAAACUAUCUUGGGAAAGGAAGAAAGUCAGAAAGAUCCAACGGAAGAAGUGGGGCAGGAGAACAAGAAAAUCUUUGAAAAUUCCAUAAAGAAGACGAUAUCUUCCUCAAGUCUUUUUCUGUCACAGAUUCCUCACACUCCCCAUUUUGACAUACUCUUGGUCAUUUUUAUUGUCAUAAGAAGAGCAGUCAUAUGUUUGUGUACACACGACAUUCUACCCAGACCUCUAGGUCACUUUUAUUUUUCCUUGUCUUGUGCUCUGUUGUAAUUAAGAGUAAACUCCUUAUAAUGAAAAAGGACAUGAUACAUAUUUUCUAGGUAACAGUAUUAGUCAUUCUUAGGAACUGAGCACAGUACAAAGUACUUUGUACGUAUUAUCUGAGGGGAUUCAAGACCAUCUGUGGGUAUAUGCAUCUGCCAUUCACAUUUACCAGAUAGAGCAACUGAAGACUUCAGCAAUUGUAAUUUGCCGAGAGCCACAUAAAUAAUAACUGGCAGAUCCAGACAAGUGAAGCAAUAAAUGGUAAGGAAGAUACGAUUGGAAGAGACA
Molecule: long non-coding RNA, 621 nt
Filed under: Felis catus (domestic cat)
Lineage: Eukaryota; Metazoa; Chordata; Mammalia; Carnivora; Felidae
Description: lncRNA (ENSFCAG00000050627.1)
Source: RNAcentral